CCAAUAGCGUAUAUUAAAGUUGUUGCAGUUAAAAAGCUCGUAGUUGAAUUUCGGGAUUGGCGCAUCGGUCGUGCCUUACGGGGUAUGAACUGGUGCAGUCAAUUUCUCACCUUCUGGAGAACCGCGAUGUCCUUAAUUGGGUGCCGCGGGGAACCAGGACCUUUACUUUGAAAAAAUUAGAGUGUUUAAAGCAGGCAUUUUUGCUUGAAUCCAUUAGCAUGGAAUAAUAAAAUAGGACGGCAUGGUUCUAUUUUGUUGGUUUCUAGGACCACCGUAAUGAUUAAUAGGGAUAGUUGGGGGCAUUAGUAUUCAAUUGUCAGAGGUGAAAUUCUUGGAUUUAUUGAAGACUAACUACUGCGAAAGCAUUUGCCAAGGAUGUUUUCAUUAAUCAAGAACGAAAGUUAGGGGAUCGAAGACGAUCAGAUACCAUCGUAGUCUUAACCAUAAACUAUGCCAACUAUGGAUCGGACGGUGUUAAUUUUUUAAUGACUCGUUUGGCACCUUACG
This 507-nucleotide unclassified non-coding RNA is filed under the name uncultured Entrophospora. RNAcentral describes it as "SSU rRNA". It matches the Rfam family "Eukaryotic small subunit ribosomal RNA", at positions 591 to 1092 of the family's 1831-position model. Lineage: Eukaryota; Fungi; Glomeromycota; Glomeromycetes; Entrophosporales; Entrophosporaceae. The record is from RNAcentral.